GUAAAGCUCUGUUGUUAGGGAAGAACAAGUGCGAGAGUAACUGCUCGCACCUUGACGGUACCUAACCAGAAAGCCACGGCUAACUACGUGCCAGCAGCCGCGGUAAUACGUAGGUGGCAAGCGUUGUCCGGAAUUAUUGGGCGUAAAGGGCUCGCAGGCGGUUUCUUAAGUCUGAUGUGAAAGCCCCCGGCUCAACCGGGGAGGGUCAUUGGAAACUGGGAAACUUGAGUGCAGAAGAGGAGAGUGGAAUUCCACGUGUAGCGGUGAAAUGCGUAGAGAUGUGGAGGAACACCAGUGGCGAAGGCGACUCUCUGGUCUGUAACUGACGCUGAGGAGCGAAAGCGUGGGGAGCGAACAGGAUUAGAUACCCUGGUAGUCCACGCCGUAAACGAUGAGUGCUAAGUGUUAGGGGGUUUCCGCCCCUUAGUGCUGCAGCUAACGCAUUAAGCACUCCGCCUGGGGAGUACGGUCGCAAGACUGAAACUCAAAGGAAUUGACGGGGGCCCGCACAAGCGGUGGAGCAUGUGGUUUAAUUCGAAGCAACGCGAAGAACCUUACCAGGUCUUGACAUCCUCUGACAACCCUAGAGAUAGGGCUUUCCCUUCGGGGACAGAGUGACAGGUGGUGCAUGGUUGUCGUCAGCUCGUGUCGUGAGAUGUUGGGUUAAGUCCCGCAACGAGCGCAACCCUUGAUCUUAGUUGCCAGCAUUUAGUUGGGCACUCUAAGGUGACUGCCGGUGACAAACCGGAGGAAGGUGGGGAUGACGUCAAAUCAUCAUGCCCCUUAUGACCUGGGCUACACACGUGCUACAAUGGACAGAACAAAGGGCUGCGAGACCGCAAGGUUUAGCCAAUCCCAUAAAUCUGUUCUCAGUUCGGAUCGCAGUCUGCAACUCGACUGCGUGAAGCUGGAAUCGCUAGUAAUCGCGGA
Molecule: ribosomal RNA, 930 nt
Filed under: Bacillus sp. DCR_F45
Lineage: Bacteria; Bacillati; Bacillota; Bacilli; Caryophanales; Bacillaceae
Description: bacterial SSU rRNA
Rfam family: Bacterial small subunit ribosomal RNA
Source: RNAcentral